This 481-nucleotide ribosomal RNA is filed under the name uncultured bacterium. RNAcentral describes it as "partial 16S ribosomal RNA". It matches the Rfam family "Bacterial small subunit ribosomal RNA", at positions 28 to 507 of the family's 1533-position model. The record is from RNAcentral.
GAUGAACGCUGGCGGCGUGCUUAACACAUGCAAGUCGAACGAAGCACUUUAUUUGAUUUCCUUCGGGACUGAUUAUUUUGUGACUGAGUGGCGGACGGGUGAGUAACGCGUGGGUAACCUGCCUUGUACAGGGGGAUAACAGUUGGAAACGGCUGCUAAUACCGCAUAAGCGCACAGCAUCGCAUGAUGCAGUGUGAAAAACUCCGGUGGUAUAAGAUGGACCCGCGUUGGAUUAGCUAGUUGGUGAGGUAACGGCCCACCAAGGCGACGAUCCAUAGCCGACCGGGGAGGGGGACCGGCCACAUUGGGACUGAGACACGGCCCAAACUCCUACGGGAGGCAGCAGUGGGGAAUAUUGCACAAUGGGCGAAAGCCUGAUGCAGCGACGCCGCGUGAGCGAAGAAGUAUUUCGGUAUGUAAAGCUCUAUCAGCAGGGAAGAUAAUGACGGUACCUGACUAAGAAGCACCGGCUAAAUACGUG